RNAcentral lists this ribosomal RNA (436 nucleotides) under uncultured Pseudomonas sp. RNAcentral describes it as "bacterial SSU rRNA". It matches the Rfam family "Bacterial small subunit ribosomal RNA", at positions 948 to 1382 of the family's 1533-position model. The record is from RNAcentral. Lineage: Bacteria; Pseudomonadati; Pseudomonadota; Gammaproteobacteria; Pseudomonadales; Pseudomonadaceae.
AAUUCGAAGCAACGCGAAGAACCUUACCAGGCCUUGACAUGCAGAGAACUUUCCAGAGAUGGAUUGGUGCCUUCGGGAACUCUGACACAGGUGCUGCAUGGCUGUCGUCAGCUCGUGUCGUGAGAUGUUGGGUUAAGUCCCGUAACGAGCGCAACCCUUGUCCUUAGUUACCAGCACGUUAUGGUGGGCACUCUAAGGAGACUGCCGGUGACAAACCGGAGGAAGGUGGGGAUGACGUCAAGGUCAUCAUGGCCCUUACGGCCUGGGCUACACACGUGCUACAAUGGUCGGUACAAAGGGUUGCCAAGCCGCGAGGUGGAGCUAAUCCCAUAAAACCGAUCGUAGUCCGGAUCGCAGUCUGCAACUCGACUGCGUGAAGUCGGAAUCGCUAGUAAUCGUGAAUCAGAAUGUCACGGUGAAUACGUUCCCGGGCCUU